Molecule: ribosomal RNA, 494 nt
Filed under: uncultured bacterium
Lineage: Bacteria
Description: partial 16S ribosomal RNA
Rfam family: Bacterial small subunit ribosomal RNA
Source: RNAcentral
GACGAACGCUGGCGGCGCGCUUAACACAUGCAAGUCGAACGGAAAGGCCUGCUUUCCCUUGUGGAUUGCGGGUACUCGAGUGGCGAACGGGUGAGUAACACGUGAGUGAUCUGCCCCCAACUUGGGUAUAAGCCUGGGAAACUGGGUCUAAUUCCCGAUAGGACUGCAGGGUGGUGCCUGUGGUGGAAAACGAUUUUCUAGUGGUUGGGGAUGAGCUCGCGGCCUAUCAGCUUGUUGGUGGGGUAAUGGCCUACCAAGGCGGCGACGGGUAGCCGGCCUGGGAGGGUGGACGGCCACAUUGGGACUGAGAGACGGCCCAGACGCCUACGGGAGGCAGCAGUGGGGAAUAUUGCACAAUGGGCGGAAGCCUGAUGCAGCGACGCCGCGUGGGGGAUGACGGCCUUCGGGUUGUAAACUCCUUUCGACCGCGAGGAAGCCACCUGGUUGGAAGGGUGGUGACGGUAGUGGUAGAAGAAGCACCGGCUAACUACGUG